Molecule: ribosomal RNA, 492 nt
Filed under: uncultured bacterium
Lineage: Bacteria
Description: partial 16S ribosomal RNA
Rfam family: Bacterial small subunit ribosomal RNA
Source: RNAcentral
AGUGAACGCUGGCGGUAGGCCUAACACAUGCAAGUCGAACGGCAGCACAGUAAGAGCUUGCUCUUACGGGUGGCGAGUGGCGGACGGGUGAGGAAUACAUCGGAAUCUACUUUUUCGGGGGGGAUAACGUAGGGAAACUUACGCUAAUACCGCAUACGACCUACGGGUGAAAGCAGUGGAUCUUCGGACCUUGCGCGAUUGAAUGAGCCGAUGUCGGAUUAGCUAGUUGGCGGGGUAAAGGCCCACCAAGGCGACGAUCCGUAGCUGGUCUGAGAGGAUGAUCAGCCACACUGGAACUGAGACACGGUCCAGACUCCUACGGGAGGCAGCAGUGGGGAAUAUUGGACAAUGGGCGCAAGCCUGAUCCAGCCAUACCGCGUGGGUGAAGAAGGCCUUCGGGUUGUAAAGCCCUUUUGUUGGGAAAGAAAAGAAGCAGGUUAAUACCCCGCUGUUCUGACGGUACCCAAAGAAUAAGCACCGGCUAACUUCGUG